CCUACGGGAGGCAGCAGUGGGGAAUAUUGGACAAUGGGGGAAAGCCUGAUCCAGCAACGCCGCGUGAAGGAAGACGGUUUUCGGAUUGUAAACUUCUAUCAAUAGGGAAGAAAGAAAUGACGGUACCUAAAUAAGAAGCCCCAGCUAACUACGUACCAGCAGCCGCGUUAAUACGUAGGGGGCAAGCGUUAUCCGGAAUUACUGGGUGUAAAGGGAGAGUAGGCGGCAAGGUAAGCGAUAUGUGAAAGCCUUAAGCUUAACUUAAGGAUGGCAUAACGAACUAGCUAGCUAGAGUACAGGAGAGGAAAGCGGAAUUCGUAGUGUAGCGGUGAAAUGCGUAGAUAUUAGGAAGAACACCAGUGGCGAAGGCGGCUUUCUGGACUGAAACUGACGCUGAGGCUCGAAAGCGUGGGGAGCGAACAGGAUUAGAUACCCUAGUAGUC
RNAcentral lists this ribosomal RNA (443 nucleotides) under uncultured bacterium. RNAcentral describes it as "partial 16S ribosomal RNA". It matches the Rfam family "Bacterial small subunit ribosomal RNA", at positions 338 to 795 of the family's 1533-position model. The record is from RNAcentral.